AUUGAACGCUGGCGGCAGGCCUAACACAUGCAAGUCGAGCGGAUGAAGGGAGCUUGCUCCUGGAUUCAGCGGCGGACGGGUGAGUAAUGCCUAGGAAUCUGCCUGGUAGUGGGGGAUAACGUCCGGAAACGGGCGCUAAUACCGCAUACGUCCUGAGAGAGAAAGUGGGGGAUCUUCGGACCUCACGCUAUCAGCUGAGCCUAGGUCGGGUUAGCUAGUUGGUGGGGUAAAGGCCUACCAAGGCGACGAUCCGUAACUGGUCUGAGAGGAUGAUCAGUCACACUGGAACUGAGACACGGUCCAGACUCCUACGGGAGGCAGCAGUGGGGAAUAUUGGACAAUGGGCGAAAGCCUGAUCCAGCCAUGCCGCGUGUGUGAAGAAGGUCUUCGGAUUGUAAAGCACUUUAAGUUGGGAGGAAGGGCAGUAAGUUAAUACCUUGCUGUUUUGACGUUACCAACAGAAUAAGCACCGGCUAACUUCGUG
Molecule: ribosomal RNA, 484 nt
Filed under: uncultured bacterium
Lineage: Bacteria
Description: partial 16S ribosomal RNA
Rfam family: Bacterial small subunit ribosomal RNA
Source: RNAcentral